Molecule: ribosomal RNA, 236 nt
Filed under: Klebsiella pneumoniae
Lineage: Bacteria; Pseudomonadati; Pseudomonadota; Gammaproteobacteria; Enterobacterales; Enterobacteriaceae
Also listed under: 2 other names
Description: partial 23S ribosomal RNA
Rfam family: Bacterial large subunit ribosomal RNA
Source: RNAcentral
UCCAGGCAAAUCCGGAUAAUCAAGGCUGAGGUGUGAUGACGAGGCACUACGGUGCUGAAGUAACAAAUGCCCUGCUUCCAGGAAAAGCCUCUAAGCAUCAGGUAACAUUAAAUCGUACCCCAAACCGACACAGGUGGUCAGGUAGAGAAUACCAAGGCGCUUGAGAGAACUCGGGUGAAGGAACUAGGCAAAAUGGUGCCGUAACUUCGGGAGAAGGCACGCUGGUGUGUAGGUGA